Molecule: long non-coding RNA, 360 nt
Filed under: Homo sapiens (human)
Lineage: Eukaryota; Metazoa; Chordata; Mammalia; Primates; Hominidae
Description: HSALNT0137997
Source: RNAcentral
CUCGGAUGAACAGAGGCAAUCACCCGCCACGUACUAUUUCAGUUCAGAGGCUGUCGUCGACAGGACUGUACUUAUCCUACAGUCUGAUGGCUGGCAUUCUAACCUGUGCAGGACUCCAGGCUUCAGGGACAAACACAACCAGUGGAAAGUCAAACAUAGAAAUCUCUAAUCUGUGGAAGGUGCUAAUGAAAAAAGACACAUUCUUGGGGGAGGAGAGAUUGCUGAACUAAAUGCCUAGGAAAUCCAGACCUACACUGUCACUCAACAAGAGCAAACUGCAGUUGUCCUGGGGUGAAGAUUCUGCAGCUUAUUUCAAGGAAACCCCAGUGAGACCCUCUUAUAUGAUCUCAACACACCAGC